GGAGGGGGAGCGGCCUAUGGCGCUGCCGGUGGAGGAGUGGCGGCGGAGCGCUGCCCGGUGCUGGGCCGUACUGGAACCGGCGCUGAGGGAACGGCUGGCGGCGGCCCCGCUGGGCGAGGCGCUACGGAUGGGCUGCGGCCUCUUUGGGCCCGAGGAGGCGGCCUUGCAGCGGCUGUGUCGCCGGGCUCGCACGGGCAAGGAGCCGGCGGCCGCUCGCUUCUACCGGGAGGAAGGAAACCGGCAGUUCGGCCGCUGCUGUUACCGCGAUGCCGUCCGGCUGUACUCGCAGGCCGCGGCCCACGAGCCUCCCCGCAGCCCUGAGGUGGCCCUGUGCUUCGCCAACCGCUCUGCAGCCCUAUUCCACCUCGGGCACUUUGAGGUUUGUUUAGAAGAUAUUGCCAGGGCUGAAAGUCAUGGCUAUCCAGAUAGGCUGCUGCCCAAGGUCUUGCUGCGGAAGGCUGAAUGCCUGCUGCGUUUGGGGAAGUUACAGGAUGCAACAGACACCCUCACUGCAGUGGAGAAUAAAAUGACUGUAGAUGGGAUUAUGACUAGUCCUAUCCAUCGUAUGCUACUGAAAAAGUUAAGUCAACUGAAGACUGAAAUACAUGAGGGGAGCUGCCCAGAACCUGCACGAGAAGCACAUGGUGAUAUUCAAAGGGAGUCAGAGAUCUGGGAAGAGAAUGGCAGUAUUUCAGGUGCAUCUUCAUCUUUGAGCCUGAAUUUCAGUACAGAGAGAGGACGUCACUUGGUGGCCUCCCAGGACAUCCUGCCAGGACAGAAUCUGUUGAAAGAGAAGGCUUUUGUCAGUGUGCUCUGCCCAGGCGAAGGGGAUAGCCUUCUUCUACAGGACAGCAGUGAAACAGUGUGGGAUACUCGAGUCACUAAUGCAGAUCUUUAUUGCCACCAUUGUCUGAAGCAGCUCUUAGCCUCCAUACCGUGCUGUGGGUGCAGUUAUGCAAAGUACUGCAGCCAAAACUGUGCAGAUGUGGCAUGGGAGCAAUACCACAGGACAGAGUGCCCCUUGGGAGCACUGCUGCUCACGUUAGGGGUCUUCUGCCAUGUUGCCUUAAGGACUGUUCUACUGGCAGGAUUUUCAGAGGUUAGCAGGCUGGUGGAGUGGUCGCGUGAUGAUAGCAACAAAGACCUUUGUAAUGCUGAGGCAGGAGGUGAACAUCCCAGUGAGGUGCUGGAUACAAGAGCUGGAAGGAAGGUUAUCCCUGGUUGUAAUGAUAAUGGCCAGUACCAGAGUUCUUACCAAGCUGUGUUCAACCUUUUGCCACAUGUUGAGAAGCAUAGUCCUGAACAUAAGUUCCUUUGCAUGCUGAGUAUAGUAGCUAUAUGCAAAAAAUUGCAAGAAACUGGUCUAGAGGCUGCUGUUCUGAACGGGGAGUCAUCUACAACGGGAUCAGAACAAAAGACUUGUGGAAAAACAUCUGAUGAACUGUCUCCAGAGCUGAUGAUUAUGGCAGAAGCAAUGCUGAGGCAUGUGUUGCAGCUACAGUGUAACGCUCAAGCGAUCACUGUAAUGCAGGAGUUAGAGUCUGGAGAUGGUGCUGUUGUAAAUAAGAAGCCUGUGCGCCUGGCGACAGCCUUCUUUCCUGUCCUCAGCCUUCUGAACCAUUCAUGCAGCCCCAAUAUCAGUGUGUCAUUUAGUGGGACAGCUGCCACUGUCAGGGCAUCACAGCCAAUCCCAAGCGGCCAGGAGAUUUUCCAUUGCUACGGGCCUCAUCGGUGUAGAAUGAGGGUUGCUGAGAGACAACAGCUUCUCAGUCAGUAUUUCUUUGAGUGCCGCUGUCAGGCAUGCCUUGAUGAGUUAGAGUCUGAUGUCGAGAGUGUGUCCAUGAGAAACUCAUUCUGCUGCCCUAGCUGCCAGGCUUCAAUGCAGGGGGAAGAAAUGCUUUGCUGUUCAAAUGAAGCUUGUGCGUUCUCAGUCAGCAGAGAGAGAUUGUCACAGCGCUUAUUGGACCUUCAGCAACAAAUGGAGAAAGCAUUAGAGCUGCUAAGAGACAGCAAGGCUGAUGAAGCUAUCAAAAUGCUCCUGAAGUGUCAAAUAGAUGCUAGAAACUUCUUGUCACCAGAGCAUUUGCUGAUGGGAGAGCUGGAGGACCAUCUGGCACAGGUCUAUGCUACUCUUGGGAAGUGGCAAGAAGCAGCCAGACACUUGGGGAGGAGUAUUCAGCUUGUGGAAAUGCAUCAUGGGCCAUCAAGUGUAGAAAUGGGUCAUGAACUUUUCAAACUGGCACAAAUUCUCUUCAAUGGAUUUGCAGUUUCUGAAGCUCUGAGCACAAUUCAAAGAGCCGAGGAGAUUUUAUCAGUACACUGUGGUCCGCAGAGUACUCAGAUCCAGGAACUACAAGAGAUGAAAACCUGUCUGUUAGAGCUUCCCAGAAGUAUCCUUCAGAGGACUUAAUUUCCCUAUCAAAGGAAGAUUCAGUGUGAUCUUUCAUCAAAGCUAAGUUUCAUGUGGGGUCCUAUGAAACAGCGCUGGUGAGUUCAGACUGCUCUCUGGGAUCGCUCCACCCCUCAGCACUGACCGCUUCUGAAGCAUCGUGCAACUGUUAGAUCUAGAGGAUUUGACUCCCACCAAAACUGUCACCUUUGCAAAAAGAAAAAGCCUCUUCCCAGCUGCAGCACAGGUACUGGCAGGGCAGAAAAGGGAGGAGAAAAGGAGUCCCACUCCCUGAGCACAGCUCUGCUCUAGAAGCACAGCGGUGCCCAAGGAUGCUGCUGCCUCCCAACCUUUGGUGAUGCUGCUCACCUGGUGGGAGUGCCGCUGUUUGACGCCUGUGCCCCAGGACCCACCCAGAAGCCCCCAGCCUCAUCCUUGUGCCCUCUGCUUCCUUGGCUGCUGGCUGCCGAGGUGGGCAGCACACGCAGCCUCCGCUGCCCCUUACCUUGGGCUCCUCUCGGCCGCCACUGCCGCAGGAUCCCAGUGAGUGUGAGCCGGGGACAGUGCAGGCUCAGCGCAGCCACAUCUGCUUUUUGCUGCCUCUCCAGCCCAGCCUUCAGCAGGCUUCAGGUUACAGCUUCCCAGGGCGCUCUUAAAGUGCUCUGCUCCCAUUUUCUUUUGCUGUGAUCCUCUCGCUUAACUUUCCAAAGCAAAUGUGCCUUCUGUGAGAAGGGCUCUCUAACAGCUGAAACGUGGGACUGAGCCAAGUGUUCAGCAUGUUCUUCCCUGCAGUGUUUGAGCAAGCCUUUUAUUCCCUCACUUCUGCCCCGUGUCACAUGAAGGAAUUUCUUCUCUCUGUUAAUACAGCAUUGUUUAAAGAUUUAAUGGAGGGGCUUGUGAAGGGGAAGCAGGAUUCAUCUGCAGCUUAAAGCAGUUAAGGGGAAGGUCUUCGGAAGUGAUUCUACCCAAUGAUAGUUGCUAGUGAAGAAGGUAUUAAUGUAUGUGUCUUAAAGUUUUUGGCCAAAAAAAGAAAAGAAGUCUUGGUUAAAAAGAAAAAAGAAAGUUAGUGAAGAGAACGUUGUAGGAACUUAUAGAGUGAUAAGUGGUCAGGAGGAGGGAAGAGGCAGAGGGCAUUGUUUUUCAUAACAGAAGAGUCAUGGGCAGCACUCAUCGAUAUCAGCAUGUUUUUGGUGAGGUUUUUCUUUUUCAUAAGUAUUAAAGUGUAAAACUCAUUGUACCUCGAUAUUGAAGAAGAUGACAGAUAAGUGGGUUUUGAAAAAGUAAAUGAUAAAUUAAUGGACGACAGAUUUAUUGAAGUCUAACGAUGGUCAGAUGUCACAUCAUGCUCAGCAGCUGGGAGACACAAUGAGAGAACAGUUGUUUUUCUGUCCGGAGUUCUACUGUCGUGGUUUUAUUCCUCAGUCAUUUGUUCCUAGCUACUAGGAGAGAUUGACAUGAACCUGCCUGAUCCAAUGCAGCUGUUUGUCUGCUUGGAAAUGCUGGAAGUAAAUUGUGCAGUAAUGUCAGUGUCCUUAGUCUAGGUUUGUACUGGGACAUGUUUUGGGCUGCUAGCCUUGCUGCUAGGAGGUAACAAGGAGUUACUCAUGGAUGCUUGCACUGGCCUUGUACAGUCCCUCAGAUAAGAGGAAAGGAUGGUUUCAGAGGAGCAAUAGCAGCUGUUUUUGCAAGUGGGAAAAGCAAAUCAGGGAGCCUGCUUUGUGAUUAGUCAGUGCUUCAGAAGUGACCCUUUCUGACGUGAAGAGCAACAGCUCUGCUCUCAGCUGCUUCUUGCCUUGUUCAGUGAGAAGUCAUCAGCAGAGAUGUGUGUACUGGUUUGACUUCCGUCCUCUGCUGGAAAAUGAGAGCGUGAGCUGUGGAGAUAACUUCUGAUGUUGUUUGUCACUUCUUGAUACAAAGAUGGUAUUAAAAUACAUUUUAUGGAAGAACGUAGAGAAUUUUUUUGUAUCUUCUCUGUAUCUUCAAAUGAAAGCCCUUCCUUUUAAAUAAAAUCUUGGUGUAAAACUGUUUAAA
Molecule: RNA transcript, 4420 nt
Organism: Gallus gallus (chicken)
Lineage: Eukaryota; Metazoa; Chordata; Aves; Galliformes; Phasianidae
Gene: SMYD4
Gene name: SET and MYND domain containing 4
Exons: 11
Source: RefSeq, marked validated